This 253-nucleotide ribosomal RNA is filed under the name uncultured bacterium. RNAcentral describes it as "partial 16S ribosomal RNA". It matches the Rfam family "Bacterial small subunit ribosomal RNA", at positions 524 to 776 of the family's 1533-position model. The record is from RNAcentral.
CACGUAGGGCGCAAGCGUUGUCCGGAAUUAUUGGGCGUAAAGAGCUCGUAGGCGGUCCGUCACGUCCGCUGUGAAAACCCAGGGCUUAACCCUGGGCUUGCAGUGGAUACGGGUAGACUAGAGGCAGGUAGGGGAGAAUGGAAUUCCCGGUGUAGCGGUGAAAUGCGCAGAUAUCGGGAGGAACACCGGUGGCGAAGGCGGUUCUCUGGGACGGUACUGACGCUGAGGCGCGAAGGCGUGGGGAGCAAACAGG